AGAUAAUGUGCAGAAGCUUGAGAAUGAUAAAGUCAUAAGUCCACCCAAAGCUUCUAUCUUAGCAGCAGAAGCUAUCUCAUUUGAGGUAGGACGUGCAGACGAUGAGCAUGAAAAUGAUAUCCAAUUGGAUGGUAGCUCGAAUGGCAUAGAACAACAUGGUGAAUUUCAGAUAAGAUCAUCUGGAUCCACUCCACUGCAAACAACAAUAGAGUCUAGAGAUGAGUGACU
Molecule: long non-coding RNA, 228 nt
Filed under: Olea europaea (common olive)
Lineage: Eukaryota; Viridiplantae; Streptophyta; Magnoliopsida; Lamiales; Oleaceae
Description: long non-coding RNA (OEUR_LNC001257)
Source: RNAcentral